This 400-nucleotide ribosomal RNA is filed under the name uncultured bacterium. RNAcentral's name for it is "bacterial SSU rRNA". It matches the Rfam family "Bacterial small subunit ribosomal RNA", at positions 355 to 772 of the family's 1533-position model. The record is from RNAcentral.
UGGGGAAUCUUGCGCAAUGGGCGAAAGCCUGACGCAGCCAUGCUGCGUGAAUGAUGAAGGUCUUAGGAUUGUAAAAUUCUUUCACCGGGGACGAUAAUGACGGUACCCGGAGAAGAAGCUCCGGCUAACUUCGUGCCAGCAGCCGCGGUAAUACGAAGGGGGCUAGCGUUGUUCGGAAUUACUGGGCGUAAAGGGCGCGUAGGCGGUCUGUCAAGUUAGGUGUGAAAGCCCUGGGCUCAACCCAGGAACUGCAUUUAAGACUGGCAGGCUAGAGAUCUAGAGGGGAUAGUGGAAUUCCAAGUGUAGAGGUGAAAUUCGUAGAUAUUUGGAGGAACACCAGUGGCGAAGGCGACUAUCUGGCUAGAAUCUGACGCUGAGGCGCGAUAGCGUGGGGAGCAAA